Leptonychotes weddellii (Weddell seal) is the source of this 443-nucleotide non-coding RNA. NCBI's taxonomy places the organism in Eukaryota, Metazoa, Chordata, Mammalia, Carnivora, Phocidae. The record is from RefSeq and is a predicted model, not a curated record.
CCCUCCCAUCCUACCUACACAUGCCCAUUGAGGGAGUUGGGACUAUUAGCCCAAUUUACGGAUGAGGAAACCAAGGUGAGGACCCGGAGGGCUAACAGAGGUGAUGUGAAUUGCCCAGCAUCACCCAACUACAGAAAGGCGAAGACAGAAUUUGAACCAAGGUCAUUGUGAAGGAAAGCCUGUGUUUCUCACCAUCCCACAGCAUGCUCCGGAUUCUUCACCAGACUGAAAGGACACCACAAAUGGGCAUUGUGUAUCAGAUGCCUCUUGCUAGUUAUUUCUACUCUCCCAGUCCUGUGUGGUCCUCAAAAAGUAUUUUCCCCUCCCGGGACCUGUGUUUUCCUCUGUACAAUAGGGCGUGGGCUCAGGGUGGCCCAACCCUAAGCCGUUGCCCGUGGCAGAUGGACUGAUUCUUGGAAUAACCCAGAAGCACGUGUUUAAGA